UAAGGGGUGAAAGGCCAACCAAAUUCCGCUAUAGCUAGUUCUCCGCGAAAACUAUUUAGGUAGUGCGUUGUGUUAAUGUUGUUAGGGGUAGAGCACUAGAUGGGCUAGGGGGAAGCGAUUCCUACCAAACCUAACUAAACUCCGAAUACUAGCAAUUUCUGCACAGCAGACAGACUAUAGGUGCUAAGGUCUAUAGUCGAGAGGGAAACAGCCCAGAUCACCAGUUAAGGCCCCCAAAUAAUGGCUAAGUGGGAAAGUAUGUAGAAAGUCCAAGACAGGCAGGAGGUUGGCUUAGAAGCAGCCAUCCUUUAAAGAUAGCGUAACAGCUCACUGUUCUAAUUAAGACUUUCCGCGACGAAGAUGUACCGGGGCUCAAGCCAUUUGCCGAAACUGUGACUUUAUAAGUAUUGCGAUACUUAUAAGGGGUAGCGGAGCGUUCUGUAAGCCGUUGAAGGUGUUUUGAAAAAAAUGCUGGAGGUAUCAGAAGUGCGAAUGCUGACAUGAGUAGCGAUAAAGAGUGUGAGAGACACUCUCGCCGAAAUCCUAAGGUUUCCUGCGUAAAGCUAAUCUGCGCAGGGUUAGUCGACCCCUAAGGCGAGGCAGAAAUGCGUAGUCGAUGGGAAACAGGUUAAUAUUCCUGUACCUGCUAUGAGUUGACGAAUCAUGUAAAUUGUAUUUUCUUAUUGGAUUGAAAAUGCAGUGAAGUGGUUCCUGGAAAUAGCCACAGCGUAUAGAUCGUACCAUAAACCGACACAGGUAGGAAGGUAGAGUAUACCAAGGCGCUUGAGAGAAUGAUGUUGAAGGAACUCGGCAAAAUGCCCUUGUAACUUCGGAAUAAAAGGGACCUAUUUUUAGGCAACUAGAAGUAGGUGGCACAGAAUUGGGAGAAGCGACUGUUUAUCAAAAACACAGGUCUCUGCUAAGUCGUAAGACGAUGUAUAGGGACUGACGCCUGCCCGGUGCCGGAAGGUUAAAUGGUGGAGUGCAAGCUCUGAAAUGAAGCCCCGGUGAACGGCGGCCGUAACUAUAACGGUCCUAAGGUAGCGAAAUUCCUUGUCAGGUAAGUUCUGACCCGCAUGAAUGGCGUAACGAUUUCUCCGCUGUCUCCAACAUCAACUCAGCGAAAUUGAAUUCUCCGUGAAGAUGCGGAGUACCCGUGGUCAGACGGAAAGACCCCGUGCACCUUUACUACAACUUUACAGUGGUAUUAGGAAAAUAAUGUGUAGGCUAGGUGGUAGACUUUGAAGCAGGAGCGCUAGCUUUUGUGGAGUCAAAAGAUGAAACACCACCCUUUAUUUUUUUGAUAUCUAACCAACAUCCAUUAUCUGGAUGUGGGACCCUGUAUGGUGGGUAGUUUGACUGGGGCGGUCGCCUCC
Molecule: ribosomal RNA, 1376 nt
Filed under: marine metagenome
Description: bacterial LSU rRNA
Rfam family: Bacterial large subunit ribosomal RNA
Source: RNAcentral